Long non-coding RNA from Phyllostomus hastatus (greater spear-nosed bat), 407 nucleotides. RefSeq lists it as uncharacterized. Lineage: Eukaryota; Metazoa; Chordata; Mammalia; Chiroptera; Phyllostomidae. The record is from RefSeq and is a predicted model, not a curated record. The transcript has 3 exons.
CCUUGGACAAAAUCCCCCAUAUUCUCCUACCACCACCACCUCUAGGUCUCUGGCUUCAUUCUCCAGAGCCUGGCUGUCCCAGAAGACCACCCUUCCCAGCCCUUGAAACUCAGUUGGUAGCCAGGGGAUAGCUCUCUGGUAGGUCCCUGGCAGCCUCAGAAACCAGGAGGCAUAUGAGUGAAGUGGUGGAACGGCUGAAGCCCUACUACAUGGAUGUGAGCCUGGAGAGUGGCAGAAACACCCCUCAGACUUCUGCUGUUCCCAUGGUGUCUGGUCACAAGAUGAUGAAAAUACUUUUCUACAGCAGCCCUGCUCAUGUACCUGCAAAUAAAUCAACCCAGCUGUUGGAUGAAAAAAGUCCUCAAAGGGAAAUGUUUUGCUGAUGUGGAAGAGGUGAAACAACAACA